CUGGCGGCAGGCCUAACACAUGCAAGUCGAGCGGAAACGACACUANCAAUNCUUCGGGNGCUUUAAUGGGCGUCGAGCGGCGGACGGGUGAGUAAUGCCUAGGAAAUUGCCUUGAUGUGGGGGAUAACCAUUGGAAACGAUGGCUAAUACCGCAUAAUGCCUACGGGCCAAAGAGGGGGAUCUUCGGACCUCUCGCGUCAAGAUAUGCCUAGGUGGGAUUAGCUAGUUGGUGAGGUAAUGGCUCACCAAGGCGACGAUCCCUAGCUGGUCUGAGAGGAUGAUCAGCCACACUGGAACUGAGACACGGUCCAGACUCCUACGGGAGGCAGCAGUGGGGAAUAUUGCACAAUGGGCGAAAGCCUGAUGCAGCCAUGCCGCGUGUAUGAAGAAGGCCUUCGGGUUGUAAAGUACUUUCAGUUGUGAGGAAGGGUGUGUAGUUAAUAGCUGCGCAUCUUGACGUUAGCAACAGAAGAAGCACCGGCUAACUCCGUGCCAGCAGCCGCGGUAAUAC
Molecule: ribosomal RNA, 511 nt
Filed under: uncultured marine bacterium
Lineage: Bacteria
Description: bacterial SSU rRNA
Rfam family: Bacterial small subunit ribosomal RNA
Source: RNAcentral